GACGAACGCUGGCGGCGUGCUUAACACAUGCAAGUCGAACGGAAAGGCCCUGCUUUUGUGGGGUGCUCGAGUGGCGAACGGGUGAGUAACACGUGAGUAACCUGCCCUUGACUUUGGGAUAACUUCAGGAAACUGGGGCUAAUACCGGAUAGGAGCUCCUGCUGCAUGGUGGGGGUUGGAAAGUUUCGGCGGUUGGGGAUGGACUCGCGGCUUAUCAGCUUGUUGGUGGGGUAGUGGCUUACCAAGGCUUUGACGGGUAGCCGGCAUGAGAGGGUGACCGGCGACAUUGGGACUAAGGGAGGGACCAGAAUGGUACGGGAGGCAGUAGGGGGGAAUAUGGCACAAUGGGCGGAAGCGUGAUGCAGCAACGCCGGGUGCGGGAUGACGGCCUUCGGGUUGAAAACCGCUGUCGCCUGUGACGAAGAGUGAGUGACGAUAAUGGGUAAAGAAGCACCGGCUAACUACGUG
RNAcentral lists this ribosomal RNA (468 nucleotides) under uncultured bacterium. Its description in RNAcentral is "partial 16S ribosomal RNA". It matches the Rfam family "Bacterial small subunit ribosomal RNA", at positions 28 to 507 of the family's 1533-position model. The record is from RNAcentral.